This 509-nucleotide ribosomal RNA is filed under the name uncultured bacterium. Its description in RNAcentral is "bacterial SSU rRNA". It matches the Rfam family "Bacterial small subunit ribosomal RNA", at positions 17 to 518 of the family's 1533-position model. The record is from RNAcentral.
UUAUGGCUCAGGAUGAACGCUAGCGGCAGGCCUAAUACAUGCAAGUCGAACGGUAAGGUCCCUUUCGGGGGAUCGAGAGUGGCGGACGGGUGCGUAACGCGUAUGCAACCAACCCCCCGUCACCGGGAUAGCCGGUGGAAACGCCGGAUAACACCGGAUGCGCCGCUGGGGAGGCAUCUUCCCGGUGGCAAGGCGGAGACGCGGAGGGGGACGGGCAUGCGUCCCAUUUAGAUGGUAGGCGGGGUGAGGGCCCACCUAGUCGACGAUGGGUAGGGGAUCUGAGAGGACGGUCCCCCCACACUGGUACUGAGACACGGACCAGACUCCUGCGGGAGGCAGCAGUAAGGGAUAUUGGUCAAUGGGCGGAAGCCUGAACCAGCCAUGCCGCGUGAGGGAAUGAGGCCCUACGGGUCGUGAACCUCUUUUGACCGGGGACAAGGGCGCGCACGCGAUGCGUGCUUGAGGGUACCGGUAGAAUAAGCGUCGGCUAACUCCGUGCCAGCAGCCGC